Molecule: transfer RNA, 78 nt
Filed under: Gammaproteobacteria bacterium
Lineage: Bacteria; Pseudomonadati; Pseudomonadota; Gammaproteobacteria
Description: tRNA-Pro
Rfam family: tRNA
About the family: Transfer RNA (tRNA) molecules are approximately 80 nucleotides in length.
Source: RNAcentral
CUGGGAGUAGCUCAGUCUGGCCAGAGUUCCUGGUUUGGAACCAGGAUGUCGGCGGUUCAAAUCCGUCCUCCCAGACCA